RNAcentral lists this ribosomal RNA (463 nucleotides) under uncultured bacterium. RNAcentral's name for it is "bacterial SSU rRNA". It matches the Rfam family "Bacterial small subunit ribosomal RNA", at positions 331 to 792 of the family's 1533-position model. The record is from RNAcentral.
CCAGACUCCUACGGGAGGCAGCAGUGAGGAAUAUUGGUCAAUGGCCGGAAGGCUGAACCAGCCAAGCCGCGUGAAGGACGAAGGUGCCAAGCAUUGUAAACUUCUUUUGUCAAGGGACAAAAUCAGGCUCGAGAGCCUGACCGAGGGUACUUGAAGAAAAAGCAUCGGCUAACUCCGUGCCAGCAGCCGCGGUAAUACGGAGGAUGCGAGCGUUAUCCGGAUUUAUUGGGUUUAAAGGGUGCGCAGGCGGAGGUGCAAGUCAGUGGUCAAAUUGCGGGGCUCAACCCCGUACUGCCGUUGAAACUGCAUCCCUUGAGUGCGCGAGAAGUAUGCGGAAUGCGUGGUGUAGCGGUGAAAUGCAUAGAUAUCACGCAGAACUCCGAUUGCGAAGGCAGCAUACCGGCGCGCAACUGACGCUCAUGCACGAAAGCGUGGGUAUCGAACAGGAUUAGAUACCCGAGUA